Molecule: ribosomal RNA, 430 nt
Filed under: bacterium
Lineage: Bacteria
Description: partial 16S ribosomal RNA
Rfam family: Bacterial small subunit ribosomal RNA
Source: RNAcentral
UGGGGAAUAUUGGACAAUGGGCGAAAGCCUGAUCCAGCCAUGCCGCGUGUGUGAAGAAGGCCUUUUGGUUGUAAAGCACUUUAAGCGAGGAGGAGGCUACUUGGAUUAAUACUCUAGGAUAGUGGACGUUACUCGCAGAAUAAGCACCGGCUAACUCUGUGCCAGCAGCCGCGGUAAUACAGAGGGUGCGAGCGUUAAUCGGAUUUACUGGGCGUAAAGCGUGCGUAGGCGGCUUCUUAAGUCGGAUGUGAAAUCCCUGAGCUUAACUUAGGAAUUGCAUUCGAUACUGGGAAGCUAGAGUAUGGGAGAGGAUGGUAGAAUUCCAGGUGUAGCGGUGAAAUGCGUAGAGAUCUGGAGGAAUACCGAUGGCGGAGGCAGCCAUCUGGCCUAAUACUGACGCUGAGGUACGAAAGCAUGGGGAGCAAACAGG